UCGCAACCAUUGUGACGUCGCAGUGGCGAGGGGCGCUUCCGGGUCCUAGGCCGGCUCCGAGUGGGAUUGGCUGAGCCGACGGGUCCUCUCUUCGCCCGAUUGGCUGGGGGUGGGUCCGGCGGGAGAGUUCGAAAGAACGCCGAAACAGAAAAAUAAGUGCAUUAACUACCUGUGAAAAUAAAAAAAAAUGGACUCAGGUAUAAUAGAUCUGAAUGAAGAUGGCCUGAUCUUAUGCAGUGGACCUGAUCAAUGCAUGCAGGGAAAUGAAGAUUCUUCUGCAGAUGAAGAAAAAGAAGCAUUCAAGUAAAUAAGAAGAGUAACUCUGGGCAGACUGAAAAUCAUCCAUUUGCACAAGAAGAGUCAAGUUCAAGUUCAAGACAUGCUAGACUACAACUCACAUAAUCCCCAGCAAGAAUACUCAUCUUGGCUGAUGGUGCUGUACACAUCAGAACAAGAAAUCCAUCUUUUUUCUGUAUCUAAUGAUAUUCUGCAUAUAAUGUAUAUGAUGUUUUUCUGUAUAUUAUGAGACACUUUGACACUGUUCAUACAGAAAAUGAAAUGUUGCAUUAUAUAGGUUGAAGCUCUAAUACCCAAUAUUGGGACAAAAUCUUUUUGUCACAGAUAAAUAUAUACCGAUGUAUAUUAUUUUUCAACAGCCAUCUUCUCAGUAAAAUAAAUACAGUUAAUCUACAAUUCAAAGUAAUUGUAAAUAACAAGUCUUUAUUACACUUUUCUGGUUGUUUAAUUGGAGAAGUUGUACAUGUACAUUAAGUUUAAAAUUAAAACCAAAAUCAAGGGAAAAUCCAUUAACAAGACAUGUAUAUAUCAUGUACAAUUUUAAGCAAAAUGAAAAAUACAUAAUUGUACCAUAAAACAGCUAUCUUCAAGUUUAAAAAUAAUUUAGGUUUCUCCUCUUUUUACAUUUAUACAGAAAAGCAAUAGAAAGUUAUUUCCGUUUGGCUCAAAAACUAAGAACAUCAUAAACAACUCCAUCAAAACACUUUUUGUGAAAAGUGCUUAACCACAUCUUAAGAGACUAGUGACUUUCACACAUGUUUAGUGCAAAUGUCUUUAAAAAGCCACUGCUAAUAAGCAAAUCUGUCGUUCUGUGUCUUUCUAUGCACAAAAUCGCUCACAGCUUAAAUAAAAGA
Molecule: non-coding RNA, 1151 nt
Organism: Pseudonaja textilis
Lineage: Eukaryota; Metazoa; Chordata; Lepidosauria; Squamata; Elapidae
Source: RefSeq, a predicted model, not a curated record